Molecule: long non-coding RNA, 916 nt
Organism: Dermacentor albipictus
Lineage: Eukaryota; Metazoa; Arthropoda; Arachnida; Ixodida; Ixodidae
Source: RefSeq, a predicted model, not a curated record
AUUACGUCACGUGGUUUGUGAGACGUAUUGUUUCCGUCGGGUACGUAACGGUGGUAACGAUUCUCCAUGGUAACGAUCAUGGAGGAAGGAAAGACUCCUCCAUGGUAGAGUGUACUAGAAAGGUUGUUCUAGUACACUCUACCCAUGGUAUGGUGGCUAGAGGGCCAUACCCAUGGUAACGAUGGAUAAAGUUCCUCCAUGUCGGAAAAUCUAGAAUCGUGGUCCGUGAUCUCGACGCAGACGUUCACGUGUUGAGCCGACGCUAAUAACGUCCUGAUAAUUCGCACCGGUGCGCACUGGCGCUCCUCGGGGCAGCUUUUUGGUUGCCCCAAGGCUGCCCAAGGCGUACCAGAAAAAUCGGCGGAGCGCCGCUUUGCAAUCCCAGCAGGCAUUGCGUGUCGUGCGCGUUGCAGACGACGCGGACUCGACUGGCAGAGCGACAGCAAAGAAACUAGCGCGCCUUAAAUUUUUGGAAGCCGUUUUUUUUUUUACAAGUUCGUCUGAUGACAGCGAUGACGAAGUCUUUAUGAACUUGGCAACCAGUUGAGGCGGUAAUGAAACGCCGAAAGUGCGCAAUAUUGUGGGAGGAGGUGUCAAGUGUUUCAAUGACAGCGACUUACGAAAACACUUUCGAGUGUCCAGGGAGGUGUGCUAUAACAUUAUAGCGGAGUACGAAAACUCUCAGUUCUAUCCAAAGCAAGCUGGACAAGGACGAUGCCCUGAAGAAAGUGCAGAAGAGCAUGUGCUUUCGUUCUUGUGAGGCUGCAUUACCGGCAGAUGACAAAGGCGUGUCCACGGGAGGGGGGACACCGCGCGCGUGAUUCCCUCACCCCCACUGAACCUCUUUGUGUACUAGGAUACUUGGCAUAAAACAAAGUGCGACGACACCUGCCUGCCCGUCAAUGCCGCAACCGAU